RNAcentral lists this ribosomal RNA (293 nucleotides) under uncultured bacterium. Its description in RNAcentral is "partial 16S ribosomal RNA". It matches the Rfam family "Bacterial small subunit ribosomal RNA", at positions 505 to 796 of the family's 1533-position model. The record is from RNAcentral.
GUGCCAGCCGCCGCGGUAAUACGAAGGGGGCUAGCGUUGUUCGGAAUCACUGGGCGUAAAGCGCACGUAGGCGGAUCGUUAAGUCGGGGGUGAAAUCCCAGGGCUCAACCCUGGAACUGCCUUCGAUACUGGCGAUCUUCGAGUCCGGGAGAGGUGAGUGGAACUCCGAGUGUAGAGGUGAAAUUCGUAGAUAUUCGGAAGAACACCAGUGGCGAAGGCGGCUCACUGGCCCGGUACUGACGCUGAGGUGCGAAAGCGUGGGGAGCAAACAGGAUUAGAAACCCCAGUAGUCC